Molecule: long non-coding RNA, 1050 nt
Organism: Octopus sinensis (East Asian common octopus)
Lineage: Eukaryota; Metazoa; Mollusca; Cephalopoda; Octopoda; Octopodidae
Exons: 3
Source: RefSeq, a predicted model, not a curated record
GAAAGUCCACGUUCCCCCAAACCAGUAAGUUUAUAGCAACUGCUAUUUAUUUAUCGUGCAGAUAGUGUUACCUCUGUUGUCAUCGCUUAGCAUUUUCCUUUUGAUCAUAGCAACCGCCUUUACAAACGUCAUGGUAGAAUGUUUUAAGGCUUUAUCAAUGUUCCUAAUAAAUAACAUUGUCGCGGUCAUCCUUUCAACAAUGGUCGUACCUCAAAAAAUACCAAAACAGUCGACGACCAGCUGAUCAAACUAGCUCCAUUCAAUUUUGGUGUGUGCAGCGAGCACGGACCUCCACGUGAACAACCUCUCCCUCUACUUUAAUUACGGCUUGCAUACAACAACAGCAGAAGCAGCGGUGUUAUUACAAUCGUACUUUCUCUUUCUGCUGUAAAUAACGGAGCCUGUUUAUGUUUGUUGGAGAGCGACACAGCUUCUGCACUUUGCACGGUACCUAGCUCUUAUGUGGAGGGAGUUGCCCCACUAAUUGCUAGCUACACCAGGUCGAUAUCCACGGCAACGGGCAUUUACAGAAAGACCAAUUAACGGGUGAAUGUGAACUGUAUACACAUGUAUCUAUUUAUGUCUACGGAAAGUGUUUGCUUGGUGUUUCAUGUCUCUCUGCAUCUAGAUAAGACCCAUCACACAUAGCAUUACAUUCAAGUAAACACACGUACACAUGUACCCACUGUAAUUACGAAUACACACACGUAUAUAGACACGCAUUGUUUUUGCACACACCUUUCCAAAGUUAUGUAUAUUAACGCAGAAAUAAAUAAAUAAUAACAAAACAAUCAUUCAGAAAACCAAUAGAGAGACGGAAAAAAAAAAUAUUAAACAAAAAAUAUAAGGAAAGAGAGAAGCAACACGCGAUUUCAGCGAGUGAUAUAGCAGUCCAACACUUACAUUUUCCAGUGUCUGUCUGCGAUAAGACCCACUGCAUGGCUCUUCUCUGCGUGGAUUACAUCCAAGGACUUAACAAUCAGCUACCUGAUAACUGUGAGGCAAAACUGCACUCUUCAGGAAGGAUAUAUUAUGUCAAACAUCUCAGUC